UAGUGGCCAGAUCAGUGCCUGUCUUAGUAACUAAAAUAUUAAAUAACUACUAACAACACCAAGACUUUAUCUCGGGAACCGAGACAAACAUUUAUUCACUGAACUUUUUGAAGAACACUUGACUAUUUGACCAGCGUACCUACUGGAGUCUUAGAUUUUUGGGCAGUCAACUUAGAGUCUUGUACACUUGUGUGCCUCGUUACGGACCCGGAGUUGUUUGUAUGAGCUCAUCACUGCAAAGGGGAGGCCUUGGAGGCGUGAUACAUAUCACUGUUAAUGCACAAUGGCUAGCGGUACAUAUGAGCCACCAGCAGAGUCAGCCCAC
Molecule: long non-coding RNA, 325 nt
Organism: Amphimedon queenslandica
Lineage: Eukaryota; Metazoa; Porifera; Demospongiae; Haplosclerida; Niphatidae
Exons: 3
Source: RefSeq, a predicted model, not a curated record